UCCCCGCCCGGCGGCCGCCAUGAUGAGGAGGUCGGCGUUGCCUCCGCGGGGCCGGCAGGGAGGGGGAUCUGGGCGAGGGUCUCUGCCGGCCCCCGCGGCCUCCGGGAGCCCACGUUUAGCUUGACAGGGUUGGAUGGGGCCGGAACCAUGAAGGCAACUGGAUUAGUCAAGUGUGGACUCUUGGGAGAGUGGCGCAGGCAGCCCAAGAUGGUUGCUAAUCUGGAAAUAGUAACGUUUCUCGCCCCCCAGCCCCGAGAAUUAUAGCACCUCCUGAACAAGCCUCGACAAUUGGGAACGGGCUUCCCCGCAUUUUCCUCAGUCUUGACAGUCUCAUCUUCACCCUGUCUUCGGAAUGACCUUUGUUUCCCGAUUUCAAACCCUGCCCAGCACUUCUCAGACCAUGAAUCCUCCACAAUCCAGAAGCUGCCGGAGGGCAGGGAUUUCAUCUUGUUCAUGAUUUUAUACCAGCAUCUCACGCAAUGCCUGGCUCAUAGUAGACCUUCAAUAAACAUAUAAUGAGAGACCUCUGUGUCCAUCCUCCUCAGACAUGCAAGUUAUUUUCUUAAGACAAAUGAGCCUGUGAACCCCAGUUCCUCUAUCCAAAAGCCUCUUCAUUCUGGAUAACCAAAUAUUGUAGAAUCAGUCUCAGGGAAAAAAGCAGAAAAAUCUACCCUAAGAGAUUAAAAGAACUGGAUUCCAAUGAAGUGACAGUGAUCAGCUUCAGCACGUGGAAGUCAGAAACUGUAGACAGGAUAAUGUCAGAAGACAACUCUAUAAGGAGGAAAAGGGAGAGUCUCCUGGCAGAGAGGGUGAGACCCCUGAAGAGCGUGAGGUACAGGAGUGAAUAGCUGUCAGCCUUGCGCAGAAGAGCAGAGAGCCUGUUGUAUCCAGAAGCUUCCUGUCAACACUGCCCAUGUCAAUAUCACCGGCCUCAGAGCCCUCAAGGUCAAGUCUCUACCCUCCUAGUUACCGGCGCUGAAAAUCAGCAGUAGGUCGACACCACCUCCCUGUCUGCAUCCCAGGUGAUCACGAAAUCUUGAUGAUACUAUAGGAGGUCUUUGGGAAUUCACAAUUAAGUAGUCAAGGGUAUGACUAUUUGGGAGCAACUCCAAAGUCCAUGGACCUCCAGCCAUUUGGAAUGGGAUCACCACUCACCUAGGUAGGGGUGUUGUCAGGAGUUUCCUAGAAGGUUCUGCAAAGCCCCAGCAGGAGUCGAAACGGCAGCAUUUAGCGCUGAGAGCGGAUAGCCUACAGCUGCCACCCCCUCAGCCCAGGGAGUGAUGCUUUUAAAACCAGGGAGUCCAGAAACUGCAAAAACACCCCUUCUAUGACCAGGAUCCAUUCUCCCCCCUCUGUAACGUCCGCGGGGUCCCUCUCCUUUCCACUCCGCCCGCCCCGUUCAGGGGCCCAUCUGCACCUGCGCCCCGCAGCACCUGCUCCGGCUUCCUCCCGCCCGGGAGCCCCGCCCCGCCCCGCCCCGCCGAAGCCGGCCGAGCCCCCCAGCCCGCCCGCCAGCCCGCCCGCCGGCCUGCAGGCCUUUCCCCAGCCGGCGCCUCCACCCGACAUUUUCCUCCCCGCGCUGCCCCUCCUGCUCCAACCACAGUCUUGUGUGGUGACUCCACGAUUGAAAACCCGGCCCAAUCACAUGCUCUGUCGAUUGGGUCAGUGUUGCCAGCAUCCUGUGUGGUCAUGUUGUUACUCUUACUUACAUUCCAACCACAGGUGGUCAGCUAAGAAAAACAAGACCAGAAGAUGCUGACGGUUCAAGGGGCAUAGAUUAACUGUACAGGGGAGAGGAAGAGGCAGGACAGAGGACUGGGGCCCCGGGGGCCCCGGGCUGGGUGGCCGCCCGCUGGUCCCUGGUCCCUCAAGGGCCUGGAGAGCUAGGGCGGAGCCGUAGAGCCUCGAGUUCCUGGGCCCCAGCUGACGAAUACACAGCCUCGGGGGAUUCAACUUCAUAGGAAGGAGUUUCACACCCUGUGGUUGGAAAAAGUUGGUUGGAGGCAAAUGGGUUCUUCCCAGAGCAUUGGUAGAUUCCAGCCCUUCUGCAGUGAGGGACAUGGAGGAAAUGAGGUCAAGGUCCUGUGCUUGAUCUGGUCCCAGCCUGGCCUCUGCCUGACCCAGGCCUGGCCGUGGGCUGGAGGGGAGGGGUGGAAGAGGCAGGACACGGAGAAGAGGAACCCUAGGGUAAGAGGAGGACGAGGAGAGCAGCAGGUAGGAGACCAAGCUCCGGAUGUCUUCCUGCAAACGAGCCCAGGAGUUUUGUUUUUAUUCCGGCCAGCAUCAGGAGAUGACUGCCACUGCCAAAAUACUUUGCUGCUCUUUCUUGACUCCAUCUUCCCGGUAGCGGCUCCUGUUGUACUCACCCUGGAGGUGACCGGCCAGGACACGGCCGCCCAGAGCAAGGCUCAUGUAGCCUCACUGGAGGGCAUCGCUCCCAAAGACCAUGUCAUGCUCUUGACAGGCACACCUGCAGAGGCUGAGGCUACCCUGGGUCAACGUGGAGUGGAGCUCUGGCCAGCCUGGAAGGAGCCAGCCGCACGCUUGGAGGUGAAGUCCGUGGCUCCCUGGCGCGUGCUGGCCAAGUCAGAGGGCGGACUCCCAAGGUGGCCAAACAGGAGAAAAAGAAGACAGGCUGAACCAUGCAAUUGAUGCAGGACAACCAGCGCUUGGUCAACGUCACGCCCACCUUUGGCAAGAAGAAGGGCCCCAAUGCCAACUCUUAAAUCCGUUGUAAUCCUGGCUCUCCCCAACAAAGCCACUAAGUCCAGUUGUCAACAACAACAACAACAACAACAAAACAACUUUGUUACAGUUCCCAAGAGCAGGGCCAUUCUGCCACUCAGGCCUCAGCGUCAGGAGUGAGGGGAAAGCAUGGGCCAGAGCCUUUAUUGGGGUUUUUGCUGGAAGGAAUAGACAAGGCAGGGUGGGCAUGCUGGGCAGGCUUAGGAGGGGACAGUGGGGGUAAUUUCAGUGGGCUCUGGCUCCAGGGGCGUCCCUGCUGGUCUGGUAUCUGGCCCUGGGGGGAUUUAGGGUAGGAGGAUAGUGUCCUGACUGUAGGAAGCUGAUAAAAGGAGGUGAACGUGGGCGAGAGGGGCGGAUUCGUUGGUUUGCAUAUCAAAGGUAGGCUCACCGGCAAGUUGUCUGCUAUUUCUAGAAGGCAGCUAACCGUGGGAGGAGCAGUCCCUCUCUGGGCCUGCAAGGCCCUGGAGACCUCAAAACAUCACAAAAUACAGAAAAUAGAAAGCAGAAUGUCAGAAUGUGCCAGAGCAUCAGGGAGUCUGCGAGGGGCUGUCACGUCGCUAUGAACCCCACCCACCCAGUGAGGUAGAGCAUGAGAGACGGAAGUGCCAUGUGAAAGCAGGAGGCUCCCGGUUCCGGCAACAGCUCCCUUGGACAGUCGGCUGGUGUGAUGCAAACACGCUCUCACUCUCCCCCAGAAGGUGCCGCGUGGGGUGGACUCAGGCUUUGGCUCUGGAGUCAGACCUGGUUGGGGACCACUGUGUGACCAGGGGAAGUUACUUCACCCUUCUGAGCCCAAGGGAUGGUUGGGAGAAUUAAAGAAAUUUGAGGACAGAAGCAUCUCUUAUCUGCAAAUUCCUUGCUCUGUGAGUUGUACAAAUGCCUCGGAGAGCUCUCUGGAACUGGCUAAAAAAAUGCUGAUUUCCUGGCUCCCCCAGACCUUCAUGUGACCUGGGCCACACUCAGUACAUUGCAGAAAGACAGCAAGACCAAGAGAAGUGAGUGUGUUCUGGUAACAGCAGGGGGACACUGGGGCAGAGCUGACCUCACAGCCAUUACCCCGGGAAAGCUGGCUAGGCUGGGUGGCCGGUCACCCCCAACCGCUGGAAGCAGGCGCCCAGGGCCCCGGGCCACACAUGCCAGCCCCAGAGUGGGAGCAGCUCUUUUUGUGCCACACACAGAGGGCUGGCACCCCUCGGCUGGGUCCGCCGACCUGCUGUGGCCCCAGUACUGAAGUUGGAGGUGUUCAGCUUCACACGACAGAGACUAUUUUCAGCUCUGUGAGGCCCAGAAUGAGAAAUAGAUUCACAUCCUCGGAGGAAAAUGGAAAUGUCAUCUCCUUUUCAAGUUCCUAGUAGUACCUGUACAUUCCAAACUGUGGAGAAUGAACUAUUUGCUUAUUUAUUUUAAUAUGGACAUUUUUUAAAGCAAGUUGAUUUGUUCCUGGUCAUCUUUUUUUUCCCCCCCAAGAUUUUAUUUAUUUAUUUGACAUAUAGCACAAGCAGUGGGAGAGGCAGAGGGAGAGGAAGAAGCAGACUCCCCGCUGAGUCAGGAGCCCGAUGUGGGACUGGAUCCCAGGACCUUGGGAUCAUGACCUGAGCCGAAAGCAGAUGCUUAGCCGACUCAGCCACCCCGGUGCCCCUUCCUGGUCAUCUCUUAGCUGCAAAUUCCAUGAAGGCUAAAAAUUGAGAGUUCUCUUGUAAUACUCACUCCUUAAUCCUGCCUGCUCCCAACACAACCAAAUCUUUGUAUGAUUUCUGAUGGAGCAACAUUUUGCUGAGGUGAUUUCACAGAAUUCUGUAGCCAACACUCUGUUGUCACCGGUCUUCUGGCCAGUGCUGUGACCACGUGAGCCCACACCCCGGACCCCAGGGCACCCCUGUUUUCUGAAAUGCCUGACUCAUCCUACCCAGGCUUUCUUGAAGAAAGUGAAGUGAAGUUAAGCCCUCCCACACUCCUUUAAAAAUGUAUACUCUAAAUUCCAGUUGUCGUAGUAACAUCUUCAUGCUGCCCCGCUGCCUUUUAUAUAUUUUGGUGCUGAUGGACCAUCAGUUACCAUGAGAACAGGAAUGUCUUUAAACAGCGAAUCUUAUGGAGCUCAGUUUUGUGCCGUGUGCAAAACAAAACCCACGUCCACAGGGACGGCCUCAACAGAGCUUUGAUAGUUUAACAAUGGAAUGGGACCUAGAAACCAAUAGUCUCAUUUGGUUCUCUGAAU
Molecule: long non-coding RNA, 4960 nt
Organism: Mirounga angustirostris (Northern elephant seal)
Lineage: Eukaryota; Metazoa; Chordata; Mammalia; Carnivora; Phocidae
Exons: 4
Source: RefSeq, a predicted model, not a curated record